RNAcentral lists this ribosomal RNA (498 nucleotides) under uncultured bacterium. RNAcentral's name for it is "bacterial SSU rRNA". It matches the Rfam family "Bacterial small subunit ribosomal RNA", at positions 28 to 525 of the family's 1533-position model. The record is from RNAcentral.
GACGAACGCUGGCGGCGUGCCUAACACAUGCAAGUCGAGCGGGGUUGAGGCGAGAGGUAACUCGAGCUUCUACCUAGCGGCGGACGGGUGAGUAACGCGUGGGCAACCUGCCUCAAGGUUUGGGAUAACAGCCCGAAAGGGCUGCUAAUACCGGAUAUGCCUAUGGCCUCGCAUGGGGCUAUGAGCAAAGGGGAAACCCGCCUUGAGAUGGGCCCGCGUCCCAUCAGCUAGUUGGUGAGGUAACAGCUCACCAAGGCGACGACGGGUAGCCGGCCUGAGAGGGCGACCGGCCACACUGGGACUGAGACACGGCCCAGACUCCUACGGGAGGCAGCAGUGGGGAAUAUUGCACAAUGGGCGCAAGCCUGAUGCAGCGACGCCGCGUGAGGGAUGAAGGCCUCGGGUUGUAACCUACUUCUAGCGCCGAAGAAGACGAAAGUAGACGGUAGGCGGCAGAAGAAGACACCGGCUAACUACGUGCCAGCAGCCGCGGUAACU